Long non-coding RNA from Taeniopygia guttata (zebra finch), 2744 nucleotides. The record is from Ensembl. Lineage: Eukaryota; Metazoa; Chordata; Aves; Passeriformes; Estrildidae.
CCACCACCAACCACCUAAUCAUCUUUUCCACCAUAAACUCAGCCUUUGGAUGGCAAAACUCACUUAAGAAUGGUGCAAGUGCACAUAUUGUCUACAGAAAUGACACCAGUGCUUUCUGUGCCACAGUCCAGGCUGUCCUGCAGCACUGCAGGAGCAGCCCAGGAAACGUUUGCUGGUUGCUGUUUGAAAGGAUGUGCAGGGAAAAGCAAUUUUAAAAUAAUUUCUCAGCUUUGACAGGAGUUUAGCAUCCUCAUCCUCCCUUUCUUUGACUGUACAUACUUCAGUCAGUGGAUUUGGGCUCCAGCAGACAAGAUUUAGGACAUGAAUCCCAGCAACUGGUACUGGAGAGAAAAACUUUGUAACUAUUUUAGUCUACCCUAUAGUCAGCAAAAAAUGCGAUUUUAUCCAAGCUUAAUCUUAAACAGAAUGAAUGGUUAGUAGGGUGAAAACCAUUCUCUUCUAGUGCAGGAAUUUCUGCUUGGAAUUUCUGCUACUACCUUCAUGAGCUCCACUGAGGUGGACUUUUGAAAACUCUAAGAAAGUUGGAUUAGGGAACAAAAUGGUAAAAAAUAAAGAAGAGCAAAAUGCCCUCUCAGGGGUGGAAAAGGAACCCACAAAAGACCCUUCUUGUACACCAUGUGAAUUUGAUUCAGGGAAAACAGUCGGACAAAUUACCUCCUUUCAGCCACACUGGGACAUGGAAAUUCUUGGAACAGCUUUGAGUGGGUCCCUCCUACUGGAAAGCAGACCUCAGAGAACUUCUGCUUUGUUUGCCUUUGAAAACUGAGUUGAAAAUUCAAAAAUAGAGAAGGGGAGAGCUUUAGAUAAGGUGAAUCAAGUCUUCUGCACAGGGAAGUUGGAUAGGAAAGAAUUGUUCCAUCCCUUAAGACUUUCUGUGGAUUUAUUUUUCCAACCCACACGGAAACCUCAAGGCUAACAGCAAACAUGAAACAAAAACAUGAAAAACAAUGCAUACGCCAACAAAAACAGUUUCGGCUAUCAUGGAGGGAGAUUGUUUUGAUCUUUACCUGUUUGCAUCCUCUUUUUUAAAUUUAAUAUAUAAAUUAUCCUGCAUUUUGAAACAAAAGCUUUUCUGAAAUGAAAAGUAAACAAACUGAAGGAAAAUGUCAAAGAAGACCGCCAAGAGCUUCAAAUCGCGUCAUUUGUUUCCCAACGGAUGUGAUAUUUUCCAACAGGAAAAGGCCUGAAGUUGGCAUUUCCCAAGAAGUUUUAACUGUGACGCAGUGGCUUCUUGUGGAGGGAUACAAAACUAUUUUCCUUUCCAAAUCUUGACUGUCUAUCACAUCUUUACAGGGUUCUUUUUACAGUGGGAUUCCCUUUGAUAUGGGAGCUUGCAGCAACAUUCAGAGCAUGCAAACAGCUGGUGCCACAAGAUCCUUCCUCACAGGAUGGGAACAGCCAAGUUUCCAAGAGGAUUUAAUCCCCGUCAGACGGUGGAGCACCAAGAACAGCACAGGCAGCACCUUCUCAAGUCCUGACUGCCCUUCAACCCAGCCAGGAUGGGGCUGUCCCUCCUUUCUGAGGUGGCAAAAUCUUCUACUGCCUUCAAACUAAGCAAACAAAGAAAAUGCACCCUUUGCUUUGUGUGGUUUCACUGGCUGGCAGCAAAACAACCCAAGCCGUGAGAAGGUUCAUCCAGAGGUUGGCAGGAAGAUUCUCUUUAAUUCUGUUUUAACAUAACCACAUUUCUUUUCCCCUUUGGAGUGAAACCUGAAGAGCUCCUGGCAUGCCAAAACUUGGAAGAAGUCGCCAUUGUCCAUCAGGGAAGCCCAUUCUCCCACACUCAGCCCCCAGCAGGACCCUGCCCAUUGCCCAGAACGAUAAGCACAUGGUAGAGGUUAGAGGGACCACGACAGCCCCUGGCUGCAGUGACAAAGACAAAAAGCACACUUGAGAUUAAAGCACACCUCCAAGCCUGCUCCGCGAUCCUGAUAAAACCUGCUGCCCAGGAGGGAAUUCCCCACUGCCUCUCCUCCAAGCUCCCAAGCUCACACUCACACUUCUCACUCUGCCCCUCUCGCUCUGUGAUUUUUCAUCUCAACAUCACCCCCCUCUCCCAGGCCAGGCUUCCUCCAGGAUAUUCCACUGAUCUCGGCUCUUGCUUCACCACCAGCGAGGAAGGAGUCUGCAGAAGGUUCCUGUGUGCCAAGGGGGGAUUUUCCUGGGAUUGUGAACACCCCUGGGACAUGCAGGGGAGCCCAAAUGGUGUCAUCAGGGCUGAUCUCCAAGCCUGCGUUCCCCUUUGGAGAAGAAGUUUAUCCUGGCCAAAGCUGUUUUGUUAGACCUGGCCUGGAGCUUUGCAUCAGAUCUGGGCUUGUGCACUUGCCUCUUCCUUGUCCCAUUUGUAGGCUUUGGUUUCUGAGCCGUUUUCCUUUUUUGCACUGUCAGGAGUUUCUUUACCCGUGUUUAGUUGUUGUCAGCUGCAAAAUGUUUGUUAAGCCUCUCCACCAAGCUCUUUAAGUGAACGUCAGUGGCUGUCUUCCCUUGGACAAUAAUGAAUGUAUAUAUCGUAAGUGCAGACUAUACAGAAAAGUGGCUAAGUCAAGGAUCAGAGGGUUUUGUAAAGCCUGUUUAUUUUUUUAAAUAAGUUUGAGCAUUUAUAUUUUACCACCAUUUACGUGGUUUUGGGGAACCCAGAUUGUGUCAAGAUCUCAUGCCAAAACAAGCCAAAAGUUGUUUGAUUUCAACCUUUUCUUCCAUGAACCAUAUUUUAAAUGAUAUUU